This 494-nucleotide ribosomal RNA is filed under the name uncultured bacterium. RNAcentral's name for it is "bacterial SSU rRNA". It matches the Rfam family "Bacterial small subunit ribosomal RNA", at positions 28 to 533 of the family's 1533-position model. The record is from RNAcentral.
GAUGAACGCUAGCGGCAGGCCUAAUACAUGCAAGUCAAGGGGAUAGCAAUAUCACCGGCGGACGGGUGCGUAACGCGUACACAACGUGCCCAAGGGCGGAGGAAAGCGGCGGGAAACUGCCGGUAAUACUCCAUGGUGUUGUUGAGUGGCAUCACUUAACAACUAAAGUACAAGCGCCCUUGGAUCGGUGUGCGUUCGAUUAGCUAGUUGGCGGGGUAACGGCCCACCAAGGCUUCGAUCGAUAGGGGGUGUGAGAGCAUGACCCUCCACACGGGUACUGAGACACGGACCCGACUCCUACGGGAGGCAGCAGUAAGGAAUAUUGGACAAUGGGCGGAAGCCUGAUCCAGCCAUGCCGCGUGAAGGACGAAGGCGCUCAGCGUUGUAAACUUCUUUUGGAUGGGAACAAUAACUCCGACUUGUCGGAACUUGAGGGUACCAUCAGAAUAAGCACCGGCUAACUCCGUGCCAGCAGCCGCGGUAAAGUACAGUGU